UGCGCUCCCUAGCCACGUUGGGAGAGCAGCAAACGGCUCAGUAACACGUAGUUAAUCUGCCCUUAGGACGGAUAUACCCCUGGGAAACUGGGGUUAAUGUCCGAUAGGUAGAAGUGCCUGGAAUGGUCUUCUACUGAAAGGUUAUCGGAAACAUGCUUCCAAUAACGCCUAAGGAUGAGACUGCGGCCGAUCAGGCAGUUGGCGGGGUAACGGCCCACCAAACCUGUAACCGGUACGGGCCCUGAGAGGGGAAGCCCGGAGAUGGGAACUGAGACAAGGUCCCAGGUCCUACGGGGCGCAGCAGGCGCGAAAACUCCACAAUGUGCGAAAGCAUGAUGGGGUUAACCCGAGUGCCAUCCGAUGAGGAUGGCUUUUCUUCAGUUUAAGGAUCUGGAGGAAUAAAGGGGGGGCAAGACUGGUGUCAGCCGCCGCGGUAAUACCAGCCCCCUGAGUGGUAGGGACGAUUAUUUGGCCUAAAGCGUCCGUAGCCCGUUUGGUAAGUCUUUCGUUAAAUCCGACGAUUCCAUCGUUGGGCCGCGGAAGAGACUGCCAGACUUGAGGACGGGAGAGGUCGACGGUAGUCCCAGGGUAGGGGUGAAAUCCUAUAAUCCUGGGAGGACCACCAGUGGCGAAGGCGGUCGACUAGAACGUGCCUGACGGUGAUGGACGAAAGCUGGGGGAGCGAACCGGAUUAGACACCCGGGUAGUCCCAGCUGUAAACGAUGCGAGCUAGGUGUUGGAGCAACUACGAGUUGCUCCAGUGCCGCAGAGAAGUUGUUAAGCUCGCCGCCUGGGAAGUACGGCCGCAAGGCUGAAACUUAAAAGGAAUUGGCGGGGGGAGCACCACAAGGGGGUGAAGCU
Molecule: ribosomal RNA, 861 nt
Filed under: uncultured crenarchaeote
Lineage: Archaea; Thermoproteati; Thermoproteota
Description: bacterial SSU rRNA
Rfam family: Archaeal small subunit ribosomal RNA
Source: RNAcentral